AACGAACGCUGGCGGCAUGCCUAACACAUGCAAGUCGAACGAAGGCUUCGGCCUUAGUGGCGAACGGGUGAGUAACGCGUGGGAACCUGCCCCGAAGUGGGGAACAACAGCUGGAAACGGCUGCUAAUACCGCAUACGCCCUUAGGGGGAAAGCUUUAUGCGCUUUGGGAGGGUCCCGCGUCCGAUUAGCUAGUUGGAGGGGUAAUGGCCCACCAAGGCGACGAUCGGUAGCUGGUCUGAGAGGAUGAUCAGCCACACUGGGACUGAGACACGGCCCAGACUCCUACGGGAGGCAGCAGUGGGGAAUAUUGGACAAUGGGGGCAACCCUGAUCCAGCAAUGCCGCGUGCGUGAAGAAGGCCUUAGGGUUGUAAAGCGCUUUCACCCGUGACGAUGAUGACGGUAGCGGGAGAAGAAGCCCCGGCUAACUCCG
This 432-nucleotide ribosomal RNA is filed under the name uncultured Rhodospirillaceae bacterium. RNAcentral's name for it is "bacterial SSU rRNA". It matches the Rfam family "Bacterial small subunit ribosomal RNA", at positions 29 to 505 of the family's 1533-position model. Lineage: Bacteria; Pseudomonadati; Pseudomonadota; Alphaproteobacteria; Rhodospirillales; Rhodospirillaceae. The record is from RNAcentral.